RNAcentral lists this ribosomal RNA (402 nucleotides) under uncultured Tissierella sp. Its description in RNAcentral is "bacterial SSU rRNA". It matches the Rfam family "Bacterial small subunit ribosomal RNA", at positions 355 to 775 of the family's 1533-position model. The record is from RNAcentral. Lineage: Bacteria; Bacillati; Bacillota; Tissierellia; Tissierellales; Tissierellaceae.
UGGGGAAUAUUGCACAAUGGAGGAAACUCUGAUGCAGCGACGCCGCGUGAAUGAUGAAGGCCUUCGGGUUGUAAAGUUCUGUCCUUGGGGAAGAUAAUGACGGUACCCAAGGAGGAAGCCCCGGCUAACUACGUGCCAGCAGCCGCGGUAAUACGUAGGGGGCGAGCGUUGUCCGGAAUUAUUGGGCGUAAAGGGUUCGCAGGCGGUCUGAUAAGUCAGAUGUGAAAGGCGUAGGCUCAACCUACGUAAGCAUUUGAAACUGUCAGACUUGAGUUAAGGAGAGGAAAGUGGAAUUCCUAGUGUAGCGGUGAAAUGCGUAGAUAUUAGGAGGAAUACCAGUGGCGAAGGCGACUUUCUGGACUUAUACUGACGCUGAGGAACGAAAGCGUGGGGAGCAAACAG